RNAcentral lists this transfer RNA (65 nucleotides) under Tylocephalum sp. DTJL-2012. RNAcentral describes it as "tRNA-Ile". The record is from RNAcentral. Lineage: Eukaryota; Metazoa; Platyhelminthes; Cestoda; Lecanicephalidea; Tetragonocephalidae.
CCAAUAGGGCUGCUACCGCAGGCUACUUUGAUAUAGUAGAUUGAAGACUAUAUUGUCUCGUUGGU